This 465-nucleotide ribosomal RNA is filed under the name uncultured bacterium. Its description in RNAcentral is "bacterial SSU rRNA". It matches the Rfam family "Bacterial small subunit ribosomal RNA", at positions 338 to 795 of the family's 1533-position model. The record is from RNAcentral.
CCUACGGGUCGCACCAGUAGGGAAUCUUCGGCAAUGGACGAAAGUCUGACCGAGCAACGCCGCGUGAGUGAAGAAGGUUUUCGGAUCGUAAAACUCUGUUGUUAGGGAAGAACAAGUAGGAGAGUAACUGCUCUUACCUUGACGGUAUCUAACCAGAAAGCCACGGCUAACUACGUGCCAGCAGCCGCGGUAAUACGUAGGUGGCAAGCGUUGUCCGGAUUUAUUGGGCGUAAAGCGAGCGCAGGCGGUCUUUUAAGUCUGAUGUGAAAGCCCUCGGCUCAACCGAGGAAGGUCAUUGGAAACUGGAGGACUUGAGUGCAGAAGAGGAGAGUGGAAUUCCAUGUGUAGCGGUGAAAUGCGUAGAUAUAUGGAGGAACACCGGUGGCGAAAGCGGCUCUCUGGACUGUGACUGACACUGAGGCUCGAAAGCGUGGGUAGCAAACAGGAUUAGAUACCCGAGUAGUC